RNAcentral lists this ribosomal RNA (372 nucleotides) under uncultured organism. RNAcentral describes it as "bacterial SSU rRNA". It matches the Rfam family "Bacterial small subunit ribosomal RNA", at positions 526 to 896 of the family's 1533-position model. The record is from RNAcentral.
CAGAGGGUGCAAGCGUUGUUCGGAAUUAUUGGGCGUAAAGCGCGUGUAGGCGGCUUAGCAAGUCGGGCGUGAAAGCCCUCGGCUCAACCGAGGAAGUGCACCCGAAACUGCCGAGCUUGAGUGCCGGAGAGGAUGGCGGAAUUCCCCAAGUAGAGGUGAAAUUCGUAGAUAUGGGGAGGAACACCGGUGGCGAAGGCGGCCAUCUGGACGGUAACUGACGCUGAGACGCGAAAGCGUGGGUAGCAAACAGGAUUAGAUACCCUGGUAGUCCACGCCGUAAACGAUGAGAACUAGAUGUCGCGGGUGUUGACCCCUGCGGUGUCGCAGCUAACGCAUUAAGUUCUCCGCCUGGGAAGUACGGUCGCAAGAUUA